Molecule: ribosomal RNA, 321 nt
Filed under: Cercomonas sp.
Lineage: Eukaryota; Cercozoa; Cercomonadida; Cercomonadidae
Also listed under: 1 other name
Description: SSU rRNA
Rfam family: Eukaryotic small subunit ribosomal RNA (bases 105-321)
Source: RNAcentral
GAUUUCUGGUUCGGCGCACUUGGCCCGUCUCGGUUUACGGGAUUGCGUGCCGGUGUGCGCCAUCCAUCCUUCGAGAGAACACUUCUACCCUCACGGGCUGGAGUGCUAUCUCGAUCUUUUACUUUGAAAAAAUUAGAGUGUUUCAAGCAGGCUUUAUGCUAUGAAUACAUUAGCAUGGAAUAAUAAUUUAGGACUUCGGUUCUAUUUUGUUGGUUUCUAGGACUGAAGUAAUGAUUGAUAGGGAUAGUUGGGGGUGCUAGUAUUCAGCGGCCAGAGGUGAAAUUCUCGGAUUCGCUGAAGACUAACUUAUGCGAAAGCAUU